Molecule: ribosomal RNA, 551 nt
Filed under: Bacillus sp. (in: firmicutes)
Lineage: Bacteria; Bacillati; Bacillota; Bacilli; Caryophanales; Bacillaceae
Description: bacterial SSU rRNA
Rfam family: Bacterial small subunit ribosomal RNA
Source: RNAcentral
CUCCCGGAUGUUAGCGGCGGACGGGUGAGUAACACGUGGGUAACCUGCCUGUAAGACUGGGAUAACUCCGGGAAACCGGAGCUAAUACCGGAUAGUUCCUUGAACCGCAUGGUUCAAGGAUGAAAGACGGUUUCGGCUGUCACUUACAGAUGGACCCGCGGCGCAUUAGCUAGUUGGUGAGGUAACGGCUCACCAAGGCGACGAUGCGUAGCCGACCUGAGAGGGUGAUCGGCCACACUGGGACUGAGACACGGCCCAGACUCCUACGGGAGGCAGCAGUAGGGAAUCUUCCGCAAUGGACGAAAGUCUGACGGAGCAACGCCGCGUGAGUGAUGAAGGUUUUCGGAUCGUAAAGCUCUGUUGUUAGGGAAGAACAAGUGCAAGAGUAACUGCUUGCACCUUGACGGUACCUAACCAGAAAGCCACGGCUAACUACGUGCCAGCAGCCGCGGUAAUACGUAGGUGGCAAGCGUUGUCCGGAAUUAUUGGGCGUAAAGGGCUCGCAGGCGGUUUCUUAAGUCUGAUGUGAAAGCCCCCGGCUCAACCGGGGA